RNAcentral lists this ribosomal RNA (230 nucleotides) under Salmonella enterica subsp. enterica serovar Typhimurium. Its description in RNAcentral is "partial 23S ribosomal RNA". It matches the Rfam family "Bacterial large subunit ribosomal RNA", at positions 2679 to 2903 of the family's 2925-position model. The record is from RNAcentral. Lineage: Bacteria; Pseudomonadati; Pseudomonadota; Gammaproteobacteria; Enterobacterales; Enterobacteriaceae.
UAGUACGAGAGGACCGGAGUGGACGCAUCACUGUUGUUCGGGUUGUCAUGCAAAUGGCACAGCCCGGAAGCUAAAUGCGGAAGAGAUAAGUGCUGAAAGCAUCUAAGCACGAAACUUGACCCGAGAUGAGUUCUCACAGAGACUUUAGGUCUCCUGAUGGAACGUUGAAGACGACGACGUUGAUAGGCAGGGAGUGUAAGCGCAGCGAUGAGUUGAGCUAACCGGAACUA